GGACAGUUACUGUUUUUGCUCUCCAAAAAUCAAUCGAUUCAAACACAUCACACUAUCUUUUCUUCCAAAUCAAAAUCACAAAAAGGAUCGAAACAAAUUUAACAGCUGAAAUUUGGAUUCCAUCAUCACCUACAAUGUUUUCCAUCUUCGCAUAAAAGAAAAUAGGCAAGAUAGUCAAGGUGAUGCAUCAAGAGGAUGGGUGUUGUUUGGCGUGCUUUCCUGCAUCAGCACAUACUGUUCUCCUGCAGUGUUAUCUGUAUAACGGGGGAAGCCUUUCUUGACGGUUGCUUUCUGAGGGCAAAAAAUCAUAGUUUGUUUGACGAAUUUAUGGGUCCUGAUGCCGAAGCUGUUUGUGGGAACUCUGCUCAAGAGGGGCAAAAAUUCCAGGAUUCGGCGAUGGAGGUUGUGCUUGAUACUGUGCUACUGCAAUACGUGAUGGUGCCUAGCAACGGCUAAAGUGAAAGGAUCGUCUUUAGGAAGUGAAUCAGUUUAUGUUCUUGCGGAUUGCUGGAAGAUGUUGAAUGCUAGCUCAUCCAAAGCAUGUUUGGAGGAAGCAUCAGCCUUAAUGGACGGAUGUUUGCCAUGGUUAUAGGGACGAGCACUUAAAAAAGGAAGCUUCAUGAAGUAUCCAAACAUAGAUUUCCCAAAUGAGGACAAACAACUGAAAGCUUGAAAAGUACUAGAGAAUCAAUCAAUGUACCUACAUUGUAUUUAUUAUGGGGAUAUCAUGUCAUAAAACCAAAUUGAACUGUUGGCA
Papaver somniferum (opium poppy) is the source of this 757-nucleotide long non-coding RNA. RefSeq lists it as uncharacterized. The record is from RefSeq and is a predicted model, not a curated record. Lineage: Eukaryota; Viridiplantae; Streptophyta; Magnoliopsida; Ranunculales; Papaveraceae. The transcript has 3 exons.